CCUACGGGAGGCAGCAGUAGGGAAUCUUUCACAAUGUGCGAAAGCCUGAUGGAGCAACGCCGCGUGCAGGAUGAAGGCCUUCGGGUUGUAAACUGCUUUUAUAAGCGAGAAAUAUGAUGGUAACUUAUGAAUAAGGAUCGGCUAACUACGUGCCAGCAGCCGCGGUCAUACGUAGGAUCCGAGCAUUAUCCGGAGUGACUGGGUGUAAAGAGUUGCGUAGGUGGCAUAAUAAGUAGCUAGUGAAAUCUGGUGGCUCAACCAUUCAGACUAUUAGCUAAACUGUUAAGCUCGAGACCGUUAGGGGUAACUGGAAUUUCUAGUGUAGGAGUGAAAUCCGUAGAUAUUAGAAGGAACACCAAUAGCGUAGGCAGGUUGCUGGGACGGUUCUGACACUAAGGCACGAAAGCGUAGGGAGCAAACGGGAUUAGAUACCCGAGUAGUC
This 442-nucleotide ribosomal RNA is filed under the name uncultured bacterium. RNAcentral's name for it is "partial 16S ribosomal RNA". It matches the Rfam family "Bacterial small subunit ribosomal RNA", at positions 338 to 795 of the family's 1533-position model. The record is from RNAcentral.